AAUACAUGCUAAAAACCUCGACUUCGGAAGGGGUGUAUUUAUUAGAUAAAAAACCAAUGCCCUUCGGGGCUCCUUGGUGAUUCAUAAUAACUUAACGAAUCGCAUGGCCUUGUGCCGGCGAUGGUUCAUUCAAAUUUCUGCCCUAUCAACUUUCGAUGGUAUGGUCUUGGCUUACCAUGGUUUCAACGGGUAACGGGGAAUUAGGGUUCUAUUCCGGAGAGGGAGCCUGAGAAACGGCUACCACAUCCAAGGAAGGCAGCAGGCGCGCAAAUUACCCAAUCCCGACACGGGGAGGUAGUGACAAUAAAUACUGAUACAGGGCUCUUUUGGGUCUUGUAAUUGGAAUGAGUACAAUUUAAAUCCCUUAACGAGGAACAAUUGGAGGGCAAGUCUGGUGCCAGCAGCCGCGGUAAUUCCAGCUCCAAUAGCGUAUAUUAAAGUUGUUGCAGUUAAAAAGCUCGUAGUUGAACCUUGGGCCUGGCUGGCCGGUCCGCCUCACCGCGUGCACUGGUCCGGCCGGGUCUUUCCUUCUGAGGAGCCGCAUGCCCUUCACUGGGUGUGUCGGGGAAUCAGGACUUUUACUUUGAAAAAAUUAGAGUGUUCAAAGCAGGCCUAUGCUCGAAUACAUUAGCAUGGAAUAAUAGAAUAGGACGUGUGGUUCUAUUUUGUUGGUUUCUAGGACCGCCGUAAUGAUUAAUAGGGAUAGUCGGGGGCAUCAGUAUUCAAUUGUCAGAGGUGAAAUUCUUGGAUUUAUUGAAGACUAACUACUGCGAAAGCAUUUGCCAAGGAUGUUUUCAUUAAUCAGUGAACGAAAGUUAGGGGAUCGAAGACGAUCAGAUACCGUCGUAGUCUUAACCAUAAACUAUGCCGACUAGGGAUCGGGCGAUGUU
RNAcentral lists this ribosomal RNA (890 nucleotides) under Barrenia panicia. RNAcentral describes it as "SSU rRNA". It matches the Rfam family "Eukaryotic small subunit ribosomal RNA", at positions 166 to 1064 of the family's 1831-position model. Lineage: Eukaryota; Fungi; Ascomycota; Leotiomycetes; Helotiales; Mollisiaceae. RNAcentral also lists the same sequence under 1 other name. The record is from RNAcentral.